This 430-nucleotide ribosomal RNA is filed under the name uncultured prokaryote. RNAcentral describes it as "partial 16S ribosomal RNA". The record is from RNAcentral.
CCCUAUGGGGCGCAGCAGGCCAUCCUGGAAGAACUGGAACUGCAGUUGAAGCUCAACCCUACAAUGGAGAGUUACUUUAAAGGGAACCAUGGCGAGCAUUUCUUCGUGAAAAACCUGGAAACAAUCCAGGGAGAUGAAAGAGAUGUAAUAAUGGUUAGUGUGGGUUAUGGAUUUGAUUCGGAAGGUAAUUUAAGCCAUAACUUCGGACCGGUUAACCAGGAUGGGGGAGAAAGACGUUUGAACGUUCUACUAACAAGGGCCAGGGAGAAAUGUUUGAUAUUUUCCAAUUUCAGGGGCCGGGACCUUCAAUUAAGUUCUAGUGCGCCUUUUGGUCUUCGUGCUCUUAAGGAAUUCCUGGAAUAUGCAGAGAAGAAAACUCUGACCCAACAGGAUCUAGGUCAGAACAAUGCGGAUGAUGCCGGUGAAGAGC